This is a long non-coding RNA of Lytechinus variegatus (green sea urchin), 1528 nucleotides long. RefSeq lists it as uncharacterized. The transcript has 3 exons. Lineage: Eukaryota; Metazoa; Echinodermata; Echinoidea; Temnopleuroida; Toxopneustidae. The record is from RefSeq and is a predicted model, not a curated record.
CUUGCCGCAUUGAUGGUGAUGACGGUGACGAUGGUGAUGAUGAAGAUAUUGACGAUUCGUUAGAAUGUUCCCGAAAGCGAGGGUGACGAAAUGUCGGUUUAAUGAAUUACCACUCAUAAUGUUUGUGACCAUGGUAGCUAUUACAUAAUUCAAAGAUGCUCUGAAUGCAAUUGUCCAGUAAUAUACACCACUAUCAUUAUAGGUCAUCUUUAUUUAACAAUUCCAGAUCAAAUACCAUCUCACAUUAAAGAAUUCCCACAAAAUUUUCAUUGGUGUCGACCUCCAUUUCAAUAGAUUACUUUGAGGUAUAUCUCCGCAAAUAUUCAUUUCAUAUAUUUUUUAAACUAAUCAUUGCAACUGUACACCAUAAAUGAAUCGUUAUUCAUGGUCGGAAUUGUACGUCGAACAAUCGAAAAAGGAUUGGAGUGAAUUUGUGUUGAAAUUUUUUAUUGACACGACAACAUUGGUAUUCCCCGAUCAUCGAGUAUAUCUUCAAUGCGUGAGCAUGAUGUCACUGUGAAGUUGAUACCAAAGUAAAAAGGAGUGAUACUGGAGUUGCUGAGAGAACAACAUCAAGCAAGGUAAAAGAUGAAUCAACCUCGUCACAACCAGAAUGCAAUCCCUCCCCCAGGUGGCAUUGGAAACGAACCUUCAAGGCAUGCUCAAGUUCAAAUAAUAGUCAUAAAGACUGAUGGGAAUAGUAUGACAAUGGACGUAGUAUUGAAUUGGAGUGAAGACCUGUUGGUUGACGAAAUUGGUGCCCGUAUCAACAUGGCUAGAAGCCAAUUUUACGUCACAUUCGGCAGCAAGCAGUUGGGCGGUUCUACGCAAAUAUUCGACACUGGCAUAAGGCAAGGAAGCGAAGUAAGGGUUAAUGGCCGACUUCGUGGGGGCGACAAAGCAAAAUAUUUUCCUUCAAUCUAAUGAAUGUGACCUCCUGCAUGUGAUUGCUUAGUAUAUGUUCCACGCAAAAAGAAACGGUUCGAUGUUCGAUGUGUAUGAUGUAUUCAAUUUCUAUAUAAAGAUCCAUACUUUCCUGCUAAAAGUAGAAUUUCACACUCUUAACACACAUACAAAUAUUGUAGCAGUCCAUUCAUAUACUGUAUGUUGCCUUUUAUCACAUUGCAGUAAUUGAUUUCUUUCAAUUCUUGCACGCUGUCAAAAACUUAAUAAUAAAAAUAAAUCCCCGCCAAGUUGAAGCCAGUGUAACAAUUUCGAAAUUCCUUUUGAAGCACAUAGAGAUAACUUAAUAUGCGCCUAAUGCAGUACAAGUUCUAAAGUACUAUCAUUUAUGUCUUACACAUAUGUGUCCUAAUUUUGUAUUGAAAUCACUACUCAUUUUAUUGAAUAUUUGCAUAUUACAUUUUUAACUGAAAAUAGUCUAUUUAAAUGAAUUGAUGAGUAAAUCUAUGAUUAAGUGAAUUGAUAAAUCGUAUUCAUAAAAAAGUAUCUACCUUAUUAAUACAUUGUGGAUUAAAAUAUAUUUAUACAUCGAUAUACCGAACCUGUAUAUUUUGUAGACCGGUCA